RNAcentral lists this ribosomal RNA (406 nucleotides) under Bacillota bacterium. RNAcentral's name for it is "Firmicutes bacterium partial 16S ribosomal RNA". It matches the Rfam family "Bacterial small subunit ribosomal RNA", at positions 355 to 776 of the family's 1533-position model. Lineage: Bacteria; Bacillati; Bacillota. The record is from RNAcentral.
CAAGGAAUCUUCCGCAAUGGGCGAAAGCCUGACGGAGCAACGCCGCGUGUGGGAUGACGCCUGUCGGGGUGUAAACCACUUUUUUCAGGGAAGAAGCACUGACGGUACCUGAGGAAUAAGGACCGGCUAACUACGUGCCAGCAGCCGCGGUAAUACGUAGGGUCCGAGCGUUGUCCGGAGUUACUGGGCGUAAAGCGCGCGCAGGCGGCGGUGUAAGCAUGGCGUGAAAGCCCCAGGCUUAACCUGGGAGGGUCGUCGUGGACUGCACCGCUUGAGGGCGGUGGGGGCUGGUGGAAUGCCUGGUGUAGUGGUGAAAUGCGUAGAGAUCAGGCGAAACACCCGUGGCGAAGGCGGCCAGCUGGGCCGUCACUGACGCUGAGGCGCGAAGGCGUGGGGAGCGAACGGG